Long non-coding RNA from Oncorhynchus nerka (sockeye salmon), 412 nucleotides. RefSeq lists it as uncharacterized. Lineage: Eukaryota; Metazoa; Chordata; Actinopteri; Salmoniformes; Salmonidae. The record is from RefSeq and is a predicted model, not a curated record. The transcript is spliced from 3 exons.
CCAAACCUGUUUUGAAGGAACACAUUUCAUACUCUACAGUUUCUAGAUCUCUGUUUACAGUCAAUAUUAGCAGAGAAUUCACAAGGAAAUCUCAACUAGUCGGUUAAGAGGAAAGGUCAGCGGGUGGGCUUCUCACAGAUUGAUAUGGGACCAGACCAGUCCUCUUCAGGAUUGUGACGUCUCCUCUCUGAGAGUUAUAAUGAGUUAUCAUCAGGGGGCUGAGGGUGGUGACAUCCCUAAAGAAAGACAGAAGGAUGGGUCACCAAACAAGGAUCUUAAUGUGACCAUGGACCCUGAUAUGAGGGGCCCUCCAGAGAGAGCAGAGUCUAUUUCCUCUGGUUUUCUAUCAAUGAAGACUGACAAAUCCAUGGAUAUCCCUGUUCAUUUCAAAGGAGCAGACUCUCUACAAAAC